UGGGUGUGAGUGCAGCACCUGUGUGUCUAAAGUACCAAGACUGUGAAUGGUGCUGUUGGGGACAGAUUCCACACACACACAUCUUAGCAACAAACAAGACUGGACCUGAAUUCCUGUGAGGAUCCUGAGCCUUACCCUUACUUGCUGGGCAAGUAAAUGCUGUAGGCCCAAGAGGCUGGACUGGUGACACAGCGGUCAGCAGGCAGCCAUUGCUCCUUUCCUCCAUUUUAUUUUUAUACAGUUUUAUUUUUAUACAGUUUUUAUUUGAAGCGUUGCUACUCUCGUGCCUCAACUAUUUUUGUAGGAAGUGUUAUUUUAUUUUGGUGUACUUCGUACAUGGUGACCGGGCCCCCCCCCCCCCCCCCCCCCC
Molecule: long non-coding RNA, 370 nt
Organism: Cololabis saira (Pacific saury)
Lineage: Eukaryota; Metazoa; Chordata; Actinopteri; Beloniformes; Belonidae
Exons: 3
Source: RefSeq, a predicted model, not a curated record